Molecule: transfer RNA, 92 nt
Filed under: Thermodesulfovibrio yellowstonii DSM 11347
Lineage: Bacteria; Pseudomonadati; Nitrospirota; Thermodesulfovibrionia; Thermodesulfovibrionales; Thermodesulfovibrionaceae
Description: tRNA-Ser
Rfam family: tRNA
About the family: Transfer RNA (tRNA) molecules are approximately 80 nucleotides in length. Their secondary structure includes four short double-helical elements and three loops (D, anti-codon, and T loops).
Source: RNAcentral
UGGAGGGGUGGCCGAGUGGUUUAAGGCGGCGGUCUUGAAAACCGCUGUAGGGGUAACUCUACCGGGGGUUCGAAUCCCUCCCCCUCCGUUUA